UUAUUAGUGAGGUCUUACCUUACCUGUGGUUCUCUAAUGGGGAACUUCAGAACAUGAUGAUUGGAUAGCUUAUGAGAUAUGAUUAUAUCUCCUUCCUGACUGUGGCCAACAACCUUCCAGGUUUCCAUUCUGAA
Gadus morhua (Atlantic cod) is the source of this 134-nucleotide small nucleolar RNA. Its record names the gene U8. It matches the Rfam family "U8 small nucleolar RNA". Rfam says of the family: U8 is a member of the C/D class of snoRNA which contain the C (UGAUGA) and D (CUGA) box motifs. U8 is the RNA component of a small complex (the U8 snoRNP) which is required for accumulation of mature large subunit ribosomal RNAs, 5.8S and 28S rRNAs. Lineage: Eukaryota; Metazoa; Chordata; Actinopteri; Gadiformes; Gadidae. The record is from Ensembl.